CACCCGUCUUCAAGCUGGCCAACAGGGCCGAGCUCCUUUCAGUCCUGCUGCUCCAACCGGCUGACCGACCCGUUUUCCCCGACUCAUUUAAUGAAGGGACAGAAGGAAUAAACGGAACAGGAAAGAAGGAGACUUGUAUCAUCCACUUGAACUUUCAUAUUCACAUACAGACAAAAUGUCAAAUCAUACUUCUUAUUGGAAUUCUCAGCAAUUUGUGGACAGAGUGAAGAAAACGCUGAAGGUAAACCCACUUCCAGAAGGAACCAGAAUGAAUUGUUUUUCAAAUGACACAUGUCCUUUAUGACCCAGCUCUUCUCAUUCUCAUCGCCAUCCUUUUCUGUGGUGGCCACAUAUUACGUCACGUGCCACUGUUCAUCUCCAAACUCCCAUCAAAUAAUCAAAAUCCAAUCACAAAAAUUAACCCUCAUUUCCCCAGCUCUAGCCACGAAGGGUCGUGAUGCUCACUUUGCCCAGUCUUACCAUCCAACGGCUCUGAUUUACGUCGGAGCCGGUCUCAUUGUCCUUCGAUUGUUCUUGAUGCUUAUUCCCUUCAUUCCCUUCUUCCUCCUC
RNAcentral lists this long non-coding RNA (570 nucleotides) under Manihot esculenta (cassava). RNAcentral describes it as "long non-coding RNA (MESC_LNC006487)". Lineage: Eukaryota; Viridiplantae; Streptophyta; Magnoliopsida; Malpighiales; Euphorbiaceae. The record is from RNAcentral.